GCCCUGGCAGGACCCUUUAACACCGGUUGGUAUUACCAACCGGUGUUAAAGGGGGGGGCUUUAGCCCCGGUUGCCCGAACCGGGACUAAAGGGUGGGCCUUUAGUCCCGGAAGGGCAGCACCGGCUCGGGAACCGGGGCAACAGGCCCUUCCCGACCGGUGCUAAUGCCCGAUCAUGCAGCAGUGAUGAGUAUCUUUUCUUUCUGUAGACUCAUUUGCAGGUAGAAUUCUCUUUUAGAUCAUGUUGUUGGAGAAGACAAAAAAAAAUAAGUAUUGAACCAUUUCCCUAUAGUGCCACCCAAACGUGAAAUAGGUCAUGUUGUUUCCCUCGCGCUUUGAACAUGUUAGCCUGGUUUGCACGCUGUUCAAAGUGGUCCAGAGCCAGGUUUCUAGAACAGGACGGCUCCCAUCACCUCUCCUUUCUUUGCAGAGGAAUUAAAUAUGUUUUUAUUUAUAUUUAAUAUUUUAUGUAUAUGUAGUUAGAUUCGAUAUAACAAAAAAAAGUCUUUUUAAAGAAAAGUAAACAAGCCCCGCGAAAACAAAGCAGACCCGU
RNAcentral lists this long non-coding RNA (552 nucleotides) under Sorghum bicolor (sorghum). RNAcentral describes it as "long non-coding RNA (SBIC_LNC011694)". Lineage: Eukaryota; Viridiplantae; Streptophyta; Magnoliopsida; Poales; Poaceae. The record is from RNAcentral.